UCAGGUAGUAGUGGGUCUAAUGUACCUACUAGCCUACGACGGGUACGGGUUGUGAGAGCAAGAGCCCGGAGAUGGAUUCUGAGACACGAAUCCAGGCCCUACGGGGUGCAGCAGGCGCGAAAACUUUACAAUGCCGGCAACGGCGAUAAGGGAACCUCGAGUGCCAGGUUAUAAAUCUGGCUGACGUGAUGCCUAAAAAGCAUUGCAUAGCAAGGGCCGGGCAAGACCGGUGCCAGCCGCCGCGGUAACACCGGCGGCUCGAGUGGUAACCGUUAUUAUUGGGUCUAAAGGGUCUGUAGCCGGCCGGAUAAGUCUCUUGGGAAAUCCAGCAGCUCAACUGUUGGGCUUCCAGUAGAUACUGUCUGGCUCGAGGCCGGGAGAGGUGAGAGGUACUUCAGGGGUAGGGGUGAAAUCUUGUAAUCCUUGAAGGACCACCAGUGGCGAAGGCGUCUCACCAGAACGGACCUGACGGCAAGGGACGAAAGCUAGGGGCACGAACCGGAUUAGAUACCCGGGUAGUCCUAGCCGUAAACGAUACUCGCUAGGUGUCGGCCACGGUGCGACCGUGGUCGGUGCCGUAGGGAAGCCGUGAAGCGAGCCACCUGGGAAGUACGGCCGCAAGGCUGAAACUUAAAGGAAUUGGCGGGGGAGCACUACAACGGGUGGAGCCUGCGGUUUAAUUGGAUUCAACGCCGGAAAUCUUACCGGGACCGACAGCGAUAUGAAGGCCAGGCUGAAGACUUUGCCGGAUUAGCUGAGAGGUGGUGCAUGGCUGUCGUCAGUUCGUACUGUGAAGCAUCCUGUUAAGUCAGGCAACGAGCGAGACCCACGCCCACAGUUGCCAGCGUACUCUCCGGAGUGACGGGUACACUGUGGGGACCGCCGCUGCUAAAGCGGAGGAAGGAAUGGGCAACGGUAGGUCAGUAUGCCCCGAAUAUCCCGGGCUACACGCGGGCUACAAUGGUUGGUACAAUGGGUAUCUACCCCGAAAGGGGAUGGAAAUCUCCUAAAGCCAAUCUUAGUCCGGAUUGAGGGCUGCAACUCGCCCUCAUGAAGCUGGAAUCCGUAGUAAUCGCGUUUCAACAGAACGCGGUGAAUACGUCCCUGCUCCUUGCACACACCGCCCGUCAAACCACCCGAGUAGGGUUUGAAUGAGGGCGCUUCCUCUGGAGGCGUUCGAAUUUGAGCUCUGCAAGGGGGGUUAAGUCGUAACAAGGUA
RNAcentral lists this ribosomal RNA (1219 nucleotides) under metagenome. RNAcentral's name for it is "bacterial SSU rRNA". It matches the Rfam family "Archaeal small subunit ribosomal RNA", at positions 225 to 1445 of the family's 1478-position model. The record is from RNAcentral.